Long non-coding RNA from Alnus glutinosa, 385 nucleotides. RefSeq lists it as uncharacterized. NCBI's taxonomy places the organism in Eukaryota, Viridiplantae, Streptophyta, Magnoliopsida, Fagales, Betulaceae. The record is from RefSeq and is a predicted model, not a curated record. The transcript is spliced from 3 exons.
CACACACAUACUCAUGGCAAAGAGAGAGAAAAGUGUGCUUUUGUGUGCUUUUGUGUAGUACAAGGCUUGGAGUGUGUUCUAGGAAGUCUUUUGCUAAUAUUUAUGUGAACAUUUUUCUGAAGCAAAGAAAGAACUGAUAUGAAGAAGAAGAAUAUCAGGACUAUCCAGACUCUUAGAUGGUUCCUGAUAUUAGUUUUUGAGGCGAGACCACCUCCCUUUUUGGGAACUACCAUGAUGUAGUUCGCUAACUUAGUCCUAUAGACAAUAUUUAUAUUUAUGCUGUUAUUUGUGCUCCAGUUAUCUUGGUGUGUAUUACUAUAUGGGCCUUGUGAGGCAUGACUACUAGCUUUGUAUGACUAUGAUGACUUACUUACUUAUAUCUAUC